UCCCGCGUGGUCUAAUGGUUGUGAUUCCUGGCUGUUCCCCAGGCGGCCCGUGUUCGAAUCUCGGUGUAGGAG
This 72-nucleotide transfer RNA is filed under the name Fasciola hepatica (liver fluke). Its description in RNAcentral is "tRNA-Asn". It matches the Rfam family "tRNA". Rfam says of the family: Transfer RNA (tRNA) molecules are approximately 80 nucleotides in length. Their secondary structure includes four short double-helical elements and three loops (D, anti-codon, and T loops). The record is from RNAcentral. Lineage: Eukaryota; Metazoa; Platyhelminthes; Trematoda; Plagiorchiida; Fasciolidae.